AACUCUGAGCUUGUGGAUCACUUGGCUUGUGCAUCGAUGAAGAACACAGCUAGCUGCUAGAACUAAUGUGAAUUGCAGGACACAUUGAUCAUCGACACUUUGAAUGCACUUUGCGGCCCCAGGUAAUUCCUGGGGCUACACCUGCCUGAGGGUCA
This is a ribosomal RNA of Protopterus annectens (West African lungfish), 155 nucleotides long. RefSeq annotates it as 5.8S ribosomal RNA. NCBI's taxonomy places the organism in Eukaryota, Metazoa, Chordata, Ceratodontiformes, Protopteridae. The transcript has a single exon. The record is from RefSeq and is a predicted model, not a curated record.